UACGGGGGGGGCAAGCGUUGUUCGGAAUUACUGGGCGUAAAGGGCUCGUAGGCGGCCAACUAAGUCAGACGUGAAAUCCCCAGGCUCAACCUGGGAACUGCGUCUGAUACUGGUUGGCUUGAAUCCGGGAGAGGGAUGCAGAAUUCCAGGUGUAGCGGUGAAAUGCGUAGAUAUCUGGAGGAAUACCGGUGGCGAAGGCGGCAUCCUGGACCGGCAUUGACGCUGAGGAGCGAAAGCCAGGGGAGCAACGGG
Molecule: ribosomal RNA, 252 nt
Filed under: uncultured bacterium
Lineage: Bacteria
Description: partial 16S ribosomal RNA
Rfam family: Bacterial small subunit ribosomal RNA
Source: RNAcentral